AGCGCAGGCGGAUGUGUAAGUUCUGUGUUAAAUGCAGCUACUCAAUAGUUGUAUGCACCGAAUACUACAUGUCUAGAUUGUGGUAGGGAGUUUCGGAAUUAAGCAUGGAGCGGUGGAAUGUGUAGAUAUGCUUAAGAACACCAGAGGCGAAGGCGGAAACUUAGGCCAUAAAUGACGCUUAGGCUUGAAAGUGUGGGGAGCAAAUGGGAUUAGAUACCCCAGUAGUCCACACCGUAAACGAUGGGUAUUAGAUAUUAGGGCUUUAGCUUUAGUGUUGUAGCUUACGCGUUAAAUACCCCGCCUGGGUAGUACAUAUGCAAAUAUGAAACUCAAAGGAAUUGACGGGGACCUGAACAAGUGGUGGAGCAUGUUGCUUAAUUCGAUAAUACACGAAAAACCUUACCAAGGUUUGACAUCCCUCGCAAAGCUAUAGAAAUAUAGUGGAGGUUAUCGAGGUGACAGGUGGUGCAUGGCUGUCGUCAGCUCGUGUCUUGAGAUGUUUGGUUAAGUCCCGCAACGAGCGCAA
RNAcentral lists this ribosomal RNA (526 nucleotides) under uncultured Mycoplasma sp. RNAcentral describes it as "bacterial SSU rRNA". It matches the Rfam family "Bacterial small subunit ribosomal RNA", at positions 568 to 1101 of the family's 1533-position model. Lineage: Bacteria; Bacillati; Mycoplasmatota; Mollicutes; Mycoplasmatales; Mycoplasmataceae. The record is from RNAcentral.